GGAGACGUCGCAUUGUCCGGCCUAACGCACCACCCUGCUAAGGUGGAGACCCCGUAAGGGAUCCAAGGGUUCAAAUCCCUUCGUCUCCG
This 89-nucleotide transfer RNA is filed under the name Candidatus Lumbricidiphila eiseniae. RNAcentral describes it as "Candidatus Lumbricidophila eiseniae tRNA-Ser". It matches the Rfam family "tRNA". From Rfam's summary of the family: Transfer RNA (tRNA) molecules are approximately 80 nucleotides in length. Their secondary structure includes four short double-helical elements and three loops (D, anti-codon, and T loops). The record is from RNAcentral. Lineage: Bacteria; Bacillati; Actinomycetota; Actinomycetes; Micrococcales; Microbacteriaceae.